AGGUCAAGCUACAAAGGGCGCAUGGUGAAUGCCUUGGCAUCAGGAGCCGAUGAAGGACGCGAUAAGCUGCGAUAAGCUUCGGGUAGACGCACAUAGUCAGAGAUCCGAAGAUUUCCGAAUGAGGAAACUCACAUGGGAAACCCCAUGUAUCGUAAAGUGAAUACAUAGCUUUAUGAAGGUAAACCCAGGGAACUGAAACAUCUAAGUACCUGGAGGAAGAGAAAGAAAAAUCGAUUUUCUUAGUAGCGGCGAGCGAAAGGGAAAGAGCCCAAACCAAAGAUUUAUCUUUGGGGUUGCGGACAGAACAUUAACGAGAAAUUAUGGUUAACCGAACACAACUGGAAAGUUGGACCGUAGGGGGUAAUAGUCCUGUAGGUGAAAAUUAUAAUGAUCAAGUUCUGAUCCAGAGUACCACGAGACACGUGAAACCUUGUGGGAAGCAGGGAGGACCACCUCCCAAGGCUAAAUACUACCUGAUGACCGAUAGUGAAGCAGUACCGUGAGGGAAAGGUGAAAAGAACCCCGGGAGGGGAGUGAAAUAGAACCUGAAACCAUGUGCCUACAACCGAUCAAAGCACCUUAUGUGUGUGAUGAUGUGCUUUUUGUAGAACGAGCCAACGAGUUACGGUAUGUAGCAAGGUUAAGUACUUAAGGUACGGAGCCGAAGGGAAACCGAGUCUUAAUAGGGCGACUAGUUGCAUGCUGUAGACCCGAAACCGGGUGACCUAUCCAUGGCCAGGUUGAAGCGAGGGUAAAACCUCGUGGAGGACCGAACCACGUUGCUGUUGAAAAAGCAUGGGAUGAGCUGUGGAUAGCGGAGAAAUUCCAAUCGAACUCGGAUAUAGCUGGUUCUCCUCGAAAUAGCUUUAGGGCUAGCGUCGGAAAAUGUGAGUACUGGGGGUAGAGCACUGAAUGGGCUAGGGGGCAUAGCGCUUACCGAACCUUAUCAAACUCCGAAUACCAGAUACUAUCAGUCCGGCAGUCAGACUGCGAAAGAUAAGUUCCGUAGUCAAAAGGGAAACAGCCCAGAUCGUCAGCUAAGGUCCCAAAGUGUAAGUUAAGUGGAAAAGGAUGUGGGAUUUCUAAGACAACUAGGAUGUUGGCUUAGAAGCAGCCACUCAUUAAAAGAGUGCGUAAUAGCUCACUAGUCAAGAGAUCCUGCGCCGAAAAUGUCCGGGGCUCAAACUUACCACCGAAGCUACGGGUUCACACAAUAGUGUGAGCGGUAGAGGAGCGUCGUAAUCGGGCUGAAGUCGUACCGUAAGGAGCGGUGGACUGAUUACGAGUGAGAAUGUUGGCAUUAGUAGCGAGAUGUGGGUGAGAAUCCCACAGGCCGAAUACCUAAGGUUUCCUCAGGAAGGUUCGUCCGCUGAGGGUUAGUCGGGACCUAAGCUGAGGCCGAAAGGCGUAAGCGAUGGACAAUCGGUUGAUAUUCCGAUACCACUAUUAUCGUUAUUAUCGAUGGUGUGACGGAGAAGGAUAGGAUGUGCUAGCUAUUGGAUGCUAGUCUAAGCGUUUAGGGAGUUAGAAUAGGCAAAUCCGUUCUAACAAUUCUGAGGCGUGAUGGGGAAGGUUCUAAGGAACCGAAGUAUCUGAUUCCAUGCUUCCAAGAAAAGCAUCUAGAAAGAGAAAUAGUGCCCGUACCGCAAACCGACACAGGUAGGUGAGGAGAGAAUCCUAAGGCCGGCGGAAGAAUUGCAGUUAAGGAACUAGGCAAAUUGACCCCGUAACUUCGGGAGAAGGGGUGCCUGCGAGAGCAGGCCGCAGAGAAUAGGCACAAGCAACUGUUUAACAAAAACACAGGUCUCUGCUAAAGCGAAAGCUGAUGUAUAGGGGCUGACGCCUGCCCGGUGCUGGAAGGUUAAGGGGAACACUUAGCGUAAGCGAAGGUGUGAACUUAAGCCCCAGUAAACGGCGGCCGUAACUAUAACGGUCCUAAGGUAGCGAAAUUCCUUGUCAGGUAAGUUCUGACCCGCACGAAUGGCGUAAUGACUUGUGCACUGUCUCAACUGCAAAUCCGGC
Molecule: ribosomal RNA, 2022 nt
Filed under: Clostridium botulinum
Lineage: Bacteria; Bacillati; Bacillota; Clostridia; Eubacteriales; Clostridiaceae
Description: partial 23S ribosomal RNA
Rfam family: Bacterial large subunit ribosomal RNA
Source: RNAcentral